Molecule: ribosomal RNA, 497 nt
Filed under: uncultured bacterium
Lineage: Bacteria
Description: partial 16S ribosomal RNA
Rfam family: Bacterial small subunit ribosomal RNA
Source: RNAcentral
GAUGAACGCUGGCGGCGUGCCUAAUACAUGCAAGCCGAGCGAACAGACGAGGAGCUUGCUCCUCUGACGUUAGCGGCGGACGGGUGAGUAACACGUGGAUAACCUACCUAUAAGACUGGGAUAACUUCGGGAAACCGGAGCUAAUACCGGAUAACAUGUUGAACCGCAUGGUUCAACAGUGAAAGACGGUCUUGCUGUCACUUAUAGAUGGAUCCGCGCCGCAUUAGCUAGUUGGUAAGGUAACGGCUUACCAAGGCAACGAUGCGUAGCCGACCUGAGAGGGUGAUCGGCCACACUGGAACUGAGACACGGUCCAGACUCCUACGGGAGGCAGCAGUAGGGAAUCUUCCGCAAUGGGCGAAAGCCUGACGGAGCGACGCCGCGUGAGUGAUGAAGGUCUUCGGAUCGUAAAACUCUGUUAUUAGGGAAGAACAAAUGUGUAAGUAACUAUGCACGUCUUGACGGUACCUAAUCAGAAAGCCACGGCUAACUACGUG